AAAGAACAAGGCAUGUACUAUUUGUUCCCUUUGGAUUGGGUGAUUUCUAUGAAUCUUUACCUCUAUGCAUUUUCCACAGGUUUACAACACGAGAUUCCUGACCAGAAGGGGAACAAGGCGGAGUGGCAUGGUGACCAAUUCCAGAUGUGCAUCUGUUCUAGUGAAACUAAGGGCAAUAAGGUAAAACAUCACUUCUAGGGGAUGCUCUUGUUAUUGCCAGGACAGUCUGUUUUGCAUUUAGGAAUGUUGGGGAGGAAUACUACAUCAAGAAGAACGAUUGGGUAGAGCUUAUCGCAAUACUUGGACUAUUUGGACUGCUUGUCAGCACAAUUCAGAUGUAUCCUCUACACGGUUCAUUAUUAAUAGAAGACCCACAGAGGAAAAUUGUCAUAAUUCAUUGAUAUUACCAUCUAUAGAUUUGAUCUUGUUAUUGCGUAGUUAAAAUAUCACUACCUUUUUUCUUGAACAAAAAUAUCUUGACAAUACUUUCCUGGAACAAA
Molecule: long non-coding RNA, 500 nt
Organism: Triticum aestivum (bread wheat)
Lineage: Eukaryota; Viridiplantae; Streptophyta; Magnoliopsida; Poales; Poaceae
Exons: 3
Source: RefSeq, a predicted model, not a curated record